Molecule: ribosomal RNA, 213 nt
Filed under: Brevibacillus laterosporus
Lineage: Bacteria; Bacillati; Bacillota; Bacilli; Caryophanales; Paenibacillaceae
Description: partial 16S ribosomal RNA
Rfam family: Bacterial small subunit ribosomal RNA
Source: RNAcentral
UUUAAUGGAGAGUUUGAUCCUGGCUCAGGACGAACGCUGGCGGCGUGCCUAAUACAUGCAAGUCGAGCGAGGGUCUUCGGACCCUAGCGGCGGACGGGUGAGUAACACGUAGGCAACCUGCCUGUAAGACUGGGAUAACAUAGGGAAACUUAUGCUAAUACCGGAUAGAGUUUUGCUUCGCAUGAAGCGAAACGGAAAGAUGGCGCAAGCUAU